GAUGAACGCAGGCGGCGUGCCUAAUACAUGCAAGUCGAGCGAACAGAUAAGGAGCUUGCUCCUUUGACGUUAGCGGCGGACGGGUGAGUAACACGUGGGUAACCUACCUAUAAGACUGGGAUAACUUCGGGAAACCGGAGCUAAUACCGGAUAACAUUUAGAACCGCAUGGUUCUAAAGUAAAAGAUGGCUUUGCUAUCACUUAUAGAUGGACCCGCGCCGUAUUAGCUAGUUGGUAAGGUAACGGCUUACCAGGGCAACGAUACGUAGCCGACCUGAGAGGGUGAUCGGCCACACUGGAACUGAGACACGGUCCAGACUCCUACGGGAGGCAGCAGUAGGGAAUCUUCCGCAAUGGGCGAAAGCCUGACGGAGCAACGCCGCGUGAGUGAUGAAGGUCUUCGGAUCGUAAAACUCUGUUAUUAGGGAAGAACAAAUGUGUAAGUAACUGUGCACAUCUUGACGGU
This 466-nucleotide ribosomal RNA is filed under the name uncultured bacterium. Its description in RNAcentral is "bacterial SSU rRNA". It matches the Rfam family "Bacterial small subunit ribosomal RNA", at positions 28 to 476 of the family's 1533-position model. The record is from RNAcentral.